CCUGACUGCUAUCGGAUUGAUACUAAGCCAUGCGAGUCAUUGUAGCAAUACAAGGCAUACGGCUCAGUAACGCGUAGUCAACCUAACCUAUGGACGGGAAUAACCUCGGGAAACUGAGGAUAAUGCCCGAUAGAACACUAUACCUGGAAUGGUUUGUGUUCCAAAUGAUUUAUCGCCAUAGGAUGGGACUGCGGCCUAUCAGUUUGUUGGUGAGGUAAUGGCCCACCAAGACUAUUACAGGUACGGGCUCUGAGAGGAGUAGCCCGGAGAUGGGUACUGAGACACGGACCCAGGCCCUAUGGGGCGCAGCAGGCGAGAAAACUUUGCAAUGUGCGAAAGCACGACAAGGUUAAUCCGAGUGAUUUGUGCUAAACGAAUCUUUUGUUAGUCCUAGAAACACUAACGAAUAAGGGGUGGGCAAGUUCUGGUGUCAGCCGCCGCGGUAAAACCAGCACCUCAAGUGGUCAGGAUGAUUAUUGGGCCUAAAGCAUCCGUAGCCGGCUCUGUAAGUUUUCGGUUAAAUCUGUACGCCUAACGUACAGGCUGCCGGGAAUACUGCAGAGCUAGGGAGUGGGAGAGGUAGACGGUACUCGGUAGGAAGUGGUAAAAUGCUUUGAUCUAUCGAUGACCACCUGUGGCGAAGGCGGUCUACCAGAACACGUCCGACGGUGAGGGAUGAAAGCUGGGGGAGCAAACCGGAUUAGAUACCCGGGUAGUCCCAGCUGUAAACUAUGCAAACUCAGUGAUGCAUUGGCUUGUGGCCAAUGCAGUGCUGCAGGGAAGCCGUUAAGUUUGCCGCCUGGGAAGUACGUACGCAAGUAUGAAACUUAAAGGAAUUGGCGGGGGAGCACCACAAGGGGUGAAGCCUGCGGUUC
This 875-nucleotide ribosomal RNA is filed under the name uncultured marine group I thaumarchaeote. Its description in RNAcentral is "bacterial SSU rRNA". It matches the Rfam family "Archaeal small subunit ribosomal RNA", at positions 21 to 903 of the family's 1478-position model. Lineage: Archaea; Thermoproteati; Nitrososphaerota. The record is from RNAcentral.